CCUACGGGAGGCAGCAGUGGGGAAUAUUGGACAAUGGGGGAAACCCUGAUCCAGCGACGCCGCGUGAGUGAAGAAGUAUUUCGGUACGUAAAGCUCUAUCAGCAGGAAAGAAAAUGACGGUACCUGACUAAGAAGCCCCGGCUAACUACGUGCCAGCAGCCGCGGUAAUACGUAGGGGGCAAGCGUUAUCCGGAUUUACUGGGUGUAAAGGGAGCGUAGACGGUGAUGCAAGUCAGAAGUGAAAGCCCGGGGCUCAACUCCGGGACUGCUUUUGAAACUGUGUGACUGGAGUGCAGGAGAGGUAAGCGGAAUUCCUGGUGUAGCGGUGAAAUGCGUAGAUAUCAGGAGGAACACCAGUGGCGAAGGCGGCUUACUGGACUGUAACUGACGUUGAGGCUCGAAAGCGUGGGGAGCAAACAGGAUUAGAUACCCGAGUAGUC
This 440-nucleotide ribosomal RNA is filed under the name uncultured bacterium. Its description in RNAcentral is "partial 16S ribosomal RNA". It matches the Rfam family "Bacterial small subunit ribosomal RNA", at positions 338 to 795 of the family's 1533-position model. The record is from RNAcentral.